AAAAUUUUAACGUCAAAUUUGCAUUUGACUUUUCGGCUUUUCUAUGUUUGGAUUUAUAUCCCUAUUUAUAUUUCAAACUAACUUUGUUUCUGCUGUCGCUAUUGAUGGUAUUAGUGAUGGAUUUGAGAAAUUUUGACCAACAGAUUCAGACCUGCUAAAUCUAGAAGCAAUGGACCUGACAAAAAGUGCAUUCCUGAUCAUCCAGUUUUGCAUCUAAUGCGAGCAUCAACAACCCUAAAACGAGUUUCGGCAUUGGAAUUUUUGUCCCACCGUUGAUAAGCGAAGUUUCAAGAGGCGACAGCUUGGUCCCAACUGUUGUUGAAACAUAGUUUGUCAAUUAGGAGGCCAUGCAUUGAAAUAAAAGUGUAAACAUUCAUGCCUGAGUAACCAAAGCUUCUUCAGAGAUAUUUGUUGAUGAAUUAUUAUAGUUGCAACAUACGUCGUACAUACGUAAUCUUUUGUUGAAGUUGCAGUUCUAAAAAUUGUAGAUAAUCCGGAGGAAGGGGAAUGAAAUUAUCUAUUUCAAAAUCGAAUCUUCUCAGCUUCUUCUCGAACUCUCCAUAUGGAAGAAACGCUUAUGGUAUUUGGAAGUCUGUAGACUAAGAGCAUGCCAUGAAUAUAAGUUGAUGAUUGCCACCUGAUGCACAAAUGAAGGCCUACAAAUCAAUAUUUCUUCCGAAGCAAUUACUGAUGCCAAUAACCAACUGAGGGUCGUUUAUUUUGGCGUUAAAUCAGUGAAUACAGCAAGCGCCAAACGUGAUGGCGAGCCCGCCUCAUCAACACAAACUCAUUUUCAAUGUAACCCCCACUACAGGUCUUGGAAGACAUACGAAUACUAUAUACAGAGGCGUAUCACUACUUGUCCUCCAAUGCUGUUGGCGUUUGGCAUUGUCUGAAUGAUUUGUGUUUUUUCUGAAAAAAUGUCAUCGCCCAACAAAAGUUCAUUUUUGGAUAAAUGUAUCGUUAUAUAACACUUUAAUGAACUGUACUACUUACUACCUAUAAUACUAAAUGUUAAAUUUGCUACCCCAAUUAAAACUAAUUAUAGGUACGUCACUGGCCGGCAAGGGGCCAGUGACGUACGUAACUAAUAGUAAUUUAGUUGGGAGAGUCUACACCUGCACGAUCGCUCGCCAUCACCUUUGGCGCUUACUGUAAAAUAAGUGAAAUACUGUUUUACGGAGAAAGUGUAAUGAAUCUGUUUCAUCAUUGGAAAUAUUGAAUUAAUCAUAUUUACAUAAUCAGAAAAUUUAGAUAUAUAUCGAUUAUGACCUAGUACUGUAAUAUUUAUAAGGAAUAAAUAAUAUACACAUUGA
Leptinotarsa decemlineata (Colorado potato beetle) is the source of this 1316-nucleotide long non-coding RNA. RefSeq lists it as uncharacterized. The record is from RefSeq and is a predicted model, not a curated record. Lineage: Eukaryota; Metazoa; Arthropoda; Insecta; Coleoptera; Chrysomelidae.